This 66-nucleotide transfer RNA is filed under the name Camelus ferus (Wild Bactrian camel). It matches the Rfam family "tRNA". Rfam says of the family: Transfer RNA (tRNA) molecules are approximately 80 nucleotides in length. Their secondary structure includes four short double-helical elements and three loops (D, anti-codon, and T loops). Lineage: Eukaryota; Metazoa; Chordata; Mammalia; Artiodactyla; Camelidae. The record is from Rfam by way of RNAcentral.
GGUGGGAGAGGGUAGAGCAUGUGCUUAGCAUGCACGAGGUCCUGGGUUCAAUCCCCAGUCCCUCCA